This is a long non-coding RNA of Corvus hawaiiensis (hawaiian crow), 2493 nucleotides long. RefSeq lists it as uncharacterized. The transcript is spliced from 5 exons. The record is from RefSeq and is a predicted model, not a curated record. Lineage: Eukaryota; Metazoa; Chordata; Aves; Passeriformes; Corvidae.
CCGCCCGCACGGCCCCGGGCGCGGAGGCACCGCGGCGCUGGCCGGCACCCGCAGGUACCGCACACGUGCCCCCGGAGGAUGCCCGCGCCGGCGCGCCUCUGUUUACUACACGUAUUGGAAAAGGACGCCACAGGAGAAGCCUGAUGGAGAGGGGCUUGCGGACGAGAGCGAGAGAAAACUACAUUCACAGUAAAUAAAAGCAUCACCCACAGAGGAUCUCUCAACUCAGUGACCUUUGAAGUUGCAAGAACACAUGGCCUAGACAGGAAUAAUUGACCAUAAUGACCAGGGUUUUUUUGGCAUCUUCCAUCUCAUUUACACCUGCUCUGAACUCCAGUGGAUUGUUGGCCAUUCACUGAAAUGUUGGAAAAAGUGGCAGAACAAAACAGGAACAUCAUCCAAAAGCUGCAGUAAAGCCAGAGUUAUGUAACCAAAGGUAGCAGUAAUCCUGUUGCCUUUGUGCCUUCCACCCAAAGCCUUCCAAGCUGUUGGAAGUGUUAGUGACAAAGUGACACAACAGCCCCUUGAAGCUGCAGCAGAACUCAGGGAAGUGAAGCUCUGAAAGGGACUCCAAGUAGGAGAAAGCCCCAGGUGAUGAGAAUUUGUCCUGGUGCCAUCAGUGCUCACCCCGACCCUGACACCACAAACCUACCAGCUUGAUGUGCUCCCGUUUCUGGUACUUCUCACUGUAAUACUGCUCCUGCCUGAGGUUCAGCAGCUGCUGCUGCUGCUUCUCCUUCAGCUCCACGAGCUUCUGGGUCAUCUCGGAGUCGAGUGCAGCCAAUUCCUGCUCAAUGGUGGAAGAACUGUGAUCGGGGCUGCUCGUCUCAGACCUGCAAGGACACAGCACACCCCGAGGGGUCUCAGUCACCCGGCACCUGCACCCUGCCUUUAUUUAUUUCAAUUUGCCUUUUUAAGUCAGAUAUUUAUAACUAGUCCAUUAAUAAAUUCCUCAGCACCACACACAGAGCAAGAAGACAGGUGAUUUUAGCCCUAGUUCAAGUGUGCAGCUGCUGUCACUUAGAGUUACUUCACCCGAAAUAAUGUGAUCCUGCUUUCAUCCAUCAGAGGACACGAAUCCCAAGGUAGCCUUGUUUUAUUUCUUGUAUUUUUAUUGUAUUUGAAUAUUCUGCUAAGAGGUUAAGUGGUGUCAGUGUGAUGGGUGAAGGUAAUUUAAAUAUUACAGAGCCAGAAGACAGUAUUAAUGAAUAUUACAGUCAGCAUAUGAUGCCAUUACACAAUACAUAUUUUAAAGCUGACAUUUCUCUUGUAUUUCUGGAAAAAAGAAAUCAGGCCUAUUUCUAAGCACUGGCUAAAAUACUGACUGCUUUUUAUGGAACAUGAUCAUUAAAGAAACUUCAGAGCAACACCAACAAAACACUUGUGCAUGUGUAUAAAUAAAUAUUUCAACCUUCCUGUAGACAAUGGCUUUACUGAAUCUUGGCUCAAUUUUAGACAAGGGCAUAAAGCAGAGAUUGCUCCUGACCAGAGACAACACAUUUUUAUGGCCAUCUGAUACAGGGACUCCGGUGAAGUAGUGAUUUGUACUUGGCAGUUACAAGCAAAGAGUGUCAGCAAUAAUUUAAAAUGAUAAAAAUCCCCUUUUUCCUUGGGAUGUAGUGUUCUAUUAGAAGUCUGCUGCUUGAGAUAAUAUGUACUUGCAAGUUUGAAAAUCCUUGAAAAUAUAUUCCUGCGUUUUUUAAAAUUCAACCUCCAGACUUGUCUGUAUGUGCACAUAAAACUUCACAUCUCCGACACCACUGUGGCAGCUCCACGUAGGAGACUGCAGGGUUUUACUGCCUGACAUCAUGAAUAGUUUGCAGUCAGAUCACAACACAGUAAAAAACCCAAAUCCUUUUUUGCUCAAAAACAAGUGAGUCAUUUUAUUUAUUCAGCUUGAUUUUCUGCUUAAAUGUGAAUAGGAGAAAAGACAGAAAUGUGCUGUUGUUUUGCCUGCCACUGUCUGUCACACGCUUUGGUGAUGGAAAACACUGCAGAUAAAAUAUCCUUGUGCUUGCAGAUGACAGCCAGUCAUUAAGGGAGUUUGUUAAACUCAAGUACAGAACCUGGAAGCCUGAAAACUGGCAACAGUUUAAGCCAGCUGAACACAGAUAUACUGGGAGUGUCAAGCUCUUAUUAAGCCAAAUGACAUUCUGUCAUCAGGAAAGCAUAAAUGAGUAAGCUCCUGCCCAGGGACAAGUUAUGGCCUGAGUCCCAGUCAUUUACAUUUAGAGGUACUAUCAACAAGGGUGGCAGCCAGAGCAGGCUUGCAGCUUUUUUCUCUGAUCAUCUCCUACCAAAAAGUAAUUUUUUUUAAAGUUCAUUCAAUAUCAUCGUAUUUAAGAACUGCAGCUGCAUCAAUUUCACAUAAAAAUUAAGAGGAUUUUUGUGCUUAUCUAGUUACUUUAAAAAAUAAAUGAUGCUAAGACAAACAGGAUGCACCAAUGGGAGAAAUAAAAGUUCAAUUGCAAGAGUAUCUGACCCUGAUUGGCU